RNAcentral lists this ribosomal RNA (589 nucleotides) under uncultured Thiobacillus sp. Its description in RNAcentral is "bacterial SSU rRNA". It matches the Rfam family "Bacterial small subunit ribosomal RNA", at positions 336 to 916 of the family's 1533-position model. The record is from RNAcentral. Lineage: Bacteria; Pseudomonadati; Pseudomonadota; Betaproteobacteria; Nitrosomonadales; Thiobacillaceae.
CUCCUACGGGAGGCAGCAGUGGGGAAUUUUGGACAAUGGGGGCAACCCUGAUCCAGCCAUUCCGCGUGAGUGAAGAAGGCCUUCGGGUUGUAAAGCUCUUUCAGCCGGAACGAAACGGUAUGUCUUAAUACGAUGUGCUAAUGACGGUACCGGCAGAAGAAGCACCGGCUAACUACGUGCCAGCAGCCGCGGUAAUACGUAGGGUGCGAGCGUUAAUCGGAAUUACUGGGCGUAAAGCGUGCGCAGGCGGAUUGUUAAGCAAGAUGUGAAAUCCCCGGGCUUAACCUGGGAAUGGCAUUUUGAACUGGCAGUCUAGAGUGUGUCAGAGGGGGGUGGAAUUCCACGUGUAGCAGUGAAAUGCGUAGAUAUGUGGAGGAACACCAAUGGCGAAGGCAGCCCCCUGGGAUAACACUGACGCUCAUGUACGAAAGCGUGGGUAGCAAACAGGAUUAGAUACCCUGGUAGUCCACGCCCUAAACGAUGUCAACUGGUUGUUGGGGGAGUGAAAUCCCUUAGUAACGAAGCUAACGCGUGAAGUUGACCGCCUGGGGAGUACGGUCGCAAGAUUAAAACUCAAAUGAAUUGACGG